Molecule: non-coding RNA, 179 nt
Filed under: Corynebacterium freneyi
Lineage: Bacteria; Bacillati; Actinomycetota; Actinomycetes; Mycobacteriales; Corynebacteriaceae
Source: RNAcentral
ACGGGAACGCCCUGCAAGUGGGCGGCGGCCCUCGCCACUGUGAUCGGGGUGACCCCGGUCCGGCACAUGCCACCGGGCUCCGCGCGGCCGAUGGCAAAGGACCGGCGGGGCGCGGGAAGGCGCCGGAACGGAUGUUUCGCGGCACGUUCCGCGGGGCAGCCCCGUCAGCCAGGAGACCG